Ornithodoros turicata is the source of this 285-nucleotide long non-coding RNA. RefSeq lists it as uncharacterized. NCBI's taxonomy places the organism in Eukaryota, Metazoa, Arthropoda, Arachnida, Ixodida, Argasidae. The record is from RefSeq and is a predicted model, not a curated record. The transcript is spliced from 3 exons.
CUCAGCUGCACCCUCUCAGUUCAGGCAGCAGCAGUACCAGGUGUAUGUACAUAACUUCCAAGACACACGAGUGCAAUUCUGAAGCUGAUUUUCAGCCAUGGAGAGAAGAAAUGCAGGAUGCAGCCAAGAGUCAUUUUACUAAAGGCACAGGGAGAGGACACAUCAAAGGAAAAGGUCCAUCAAAUCACAAGGUUCCGUCAGGCGUGGGGACACCUGCCUUGCUGAUAUGUCUGCAAUGUUCCAAACUGGCAACGUCUCGUUUGUCUUCCAAGCUUCCUAUUAUGC